GAUGAACGCUGGCGGCGUGCCUAAUACAUGCAAGUCGAGCGAACAGACGAGGAGCUUGCUCCUCUGACGUUAGCGGCGGACGGGUGAGUAACACGUGGAUAACCUACCUAUAAGACUGGGAUAACUUCGGGAAACCGGAGCUAAUACCGGAUAAUAUAUUGAACAGCAUGGUUCACUAGUGAAAGACGGUUUUGCUGUCACUUAUAGAUGGAUCCGCGCCGGAUUAGCUAGUUGGUAAGGUAACGGCUUACCAAGGCAACGAUGCGUAGCCGAUCUGAGAGGGUGAUCGGCCACACUGGAACUGAGACACGGUCCAGACUCCUACGGGAGGCAGCAGUAGGGAAUCUUCCGCAAUGGGCGAAAGCCUGACGGAGCAACGCCGCGUGAGUGAUGAAGGUCUUCGGAUCGUAAAACUCUGUUAUUAGGGAAGAACAAAUGUGUAAGUAACUAUGCACGUCUUGACGGUACCUAAUCAGAAAGCCACGGCUAACUACGUG
This 497-nucleotide ribosomal RNA is filed under the name uncultured bacterium. RNAcentral's name for it is "partial 16S ribosomal RNA". It matches the Rfam family "Bacterial small subunit ribosomal RNA", at positions 28 to 507 of the family's 1533-position model. The record is from RNAcentral.